Molecule: ribosomal RNA, 492 nt
Filed under: uncultured bacterium
Lineage: Bacteria
Description: partial 16S ribosomal RNA
Rfam family: Bacterial small subunit ribosomal RNA
Source: RNAcentral
AGUGAACGCUGGCGGUAGGCCUAACACAUGCAAGUCGAACGGCAGCACAGUAAGAGCUUGCUCUUACGGUUGGCGAGUGGCGGACGGGUGAGGAAUACAUCGGAAUCUACUUUUUCUUGGGGGAUAACGUAGGGAAACUUACGCUAAUACCGCAUACGACCUACGGGUGAAAGCAGGGGAUCUUCGGACCUUGCGCGAUUGAAUGAGCCGAUUUCGGAUUAGCUAGUUGGCGGGGUAAAGGCCCACCAAGGCGACGAUCCGUAGCUGGUCUGAGAGGUUGAUCAGCCACACUGGAACUGAGACACGGUCCAGACUCCUACGGGAGGCAGCAGUGGGGAAUAUUGGACAAUGGGCGCAAGCCUGAUCCAGCCAUACCGCGUGAGUGAAGAAGGCCUUCGGGUUGUAAAGCCCUUUUGUUGGGAAAGAAAAGCAGCAGGUUAAUACCCCGCUGUUCUGACGGUACCCAAAGAAUAAGCACCGGCUAACUUCGUG